ACGGCUGCACAGGAGAGCUUGCUCUCUGGGUGGCGAGUGGCGGACGGGUGAGGAAUACAUCGGAAUCUACUUUUUCGUCCCGGAUAACGUAGGGAAACUUACGCUAAUACCGCAUACGACCUACGGGUGAAAGCAGGGGAUCUUCGGACGAUGCGCGAUUGAAUGAGCCGAUGUCGGAUUAGCUAGUUGGCGGGGUAAAGGCCCACCAAGGCGACGAUCCGUAGGUGGUCUGAGAGGAUGAUCAGCCACACUGGAACUGAGUCACGGUCCAGACUCCAACGGGAGGCAGCAGUGGGGAAUAUUGGACAAUGGGCGCAAGCCUGAUCGAGCCUUUCCCCGUGGGUGAAGAAGGCCUUCGGGUUGUAAAGCCCUUUUGUUGGGAAAGAAAUCCAGCUGGCUAAUACCCGGUUGGGAUGACGGUUCCCAAAGAAUAAGCACCCCCUAACUUCGUGCCAGCAGCCGCGGUAAUACGAAGGGUGCAAGCGUUACUCGGAAUUACUAGGCGUAAAGCGUGCGUAGGUGGUCGUAUAAGUCCGUUGUAGAAAGCCGCUUUGGGGCGCGCUUCACAAUACCCUCGGCAACAUGCAAGUCGGCAAAUCUUGCGCGAUCUAAGAAGCUGUUGGUAGUAGGGGGGAGGCGGGAAUUUCCUGGUGUAGGCAGUGAAAUGCGUAGAGAUCAGGGAGGGAACAUCCAUGGCGUAGGCACGCUACCCUGGACCAACAAUUGACACUGAGGCACGAAAGCGUGGGGGAGCAAACAGGAUUAGAUACCCUGGUAGUCCACGCCCUUAAACGAUGCGAACUGGAUGUUGGGUGCAAUUUGGGCACGCAGUAUCGAAAGCUAAACGCGUUAAAGUUUCGCCCGCCCUGGGAGAAGUACGGGUCGACAAGUCUGAAAACUUCAAAGGAAUUGACGUGGGGGGCCCCGGCCAACAAAGUCGGUGGAGUAUGUGGUUUAAUUUGAUACAACGCGAAGAUCCUUACGUGGCCUUGACAUGUCGAGAACUUUCCAGAGAUGGAUUGGUGCCUUCGGGAACUCGAACACAGGUGCUGCAUCGCUGUCGUCAGCUCGUGUCGUGAGAUGUUGGGUUAAGUCCCGCAACGAGCGCAUCCCUUGUUCUUAGUUGCCAGCACGUAAUGGUGGGAACUUUAAGGAGACCGCCGGUGACAAACCGGAGGAAGGUGGGGAUGACGUCAAGUCAUCAUGGCCCUUACGGCCAGGGCUACACACGUACUACAAUGGUAGGGACAGUGGGGUGCAAGCCGGCGACGGUAAGCCAAUCCCAGAAACCCUAUUUCAGUU
RNAcentral lists this ribosomal RNA (1302 nucleotides) under Stenotrophomonas sp. RAJSPM. RNAcentral describes it as "bacterial SSU rRNA". It matches the Rfam family "Bacterial small subunit ribosomal RNA", at positions 66 to 1293 of the family's 1533-position model. The record is from RNAcentral. Lineage: Bacteria; Pseudomonadati; Pseudomonadota; Gammaproteobacteria; Lysobacterales; Lysobacteraceae.